This 343-nucleotide ribosomal RNA is filed under the name Escherichia coli. Its description in RNAcentral is "bacterial SSU rRNA". It matches the Rfam family "Bacterial small subunit ribosomal RNA", at positions 1 to 340 of the family's 1533-position model. The record is from RNAcentral. Lineage: Bacteria; Pseudomonadati; Pseudomonadota; Gammaproteobacteria; Enterobacterales; Enterobacteriaceae.
AAAUUGAAGAGUUUGAUCAUGGCUCAGAUUGAACGCUGGCGGCAGGCCUAACACAUGCAAGUCGAACGGUAACAGGAAGCAGCUUGCUGCUUUGCUGACGAGUGGCGGACGGGUGAGUAAUGUCUGGGAAACUGCCUGAUGGAGGGGGAUAACUACUGGAAACGGUAGCUAAUACCGCAUAACGUCGCAAGACCAAAGAGGGGGACCUUCGGGCCUCUUGCCAUCGGAUGUGCCCAGAUGGGAUUAGCUAGUAGGUGGGGUAACGGCUCACCUAGGCGACGAUCCCUAGCUGGUCUGAGAGGAUGACCAGCCACACUGGAACUGAGACACGGUCCAGACUCCU